This 273-nucleotide ribosomal RNA is filed under the name uncultured bacterium. RNAcentral describes it as "partial 16S ribosomal RNA". It matches the Rfam family "Bacterial small subunit ribosomal RNA", at positions 81 to 353 of the family's 1533-position model. The record is from RNAcentral.
AAGUUUGAUGGCGACCGGCGCACGGGUGAGUAACACGUAUCCAACCUGCCGAUGACUCGGGGAUAGCCUUUCGAAAGAAAGAUUAAUACCCGAUGGCAUAGUUCUUCCGCAUGGUGGAACUAUUAAAGAAUUUCGGUCAUCGAUGGGGAUGCGUUCCAUUAGGUUGUUGGCGGGGUAACGGCCCACCAAGCCUUCGAUGGAUAGGGGUUCUGAGAGGAAGGUCCCCCACAUUGGAACUGAGACACGGUCCAAACUCCUACAGGAGGCAGCAUG